UCCCUCAUGGCCGGCAAGGUCGUCUUGGUGCCGCCUCCGUCGUCCCUGCACCAACCGGUUGUUAGCUGAGGACCUUGAGUCGCCAGGAUGCGCCGCCGCCGGCGUCCAUGGUCGUCCAAGCAGAGGGACGCGGAGAGAGGGGCGGUGAGGGACACGGAGGAAGGGCGGAGAAGGACGCUGCGGGAGAAACAAAAUGCUGGAGCUUGGUCGCUGGGGCCGGUCGCCGUCGCCGCCGUGUUCGUACGGUACGGGGGAGACAAAGAUGCCGUUCGAUGGGUCGACCCGUUCCUCCUGUUCCUAUGUCUUUCCUAGCCACACGGGUAUGAUUCUGCCUUACCAAGAAAUAUUGCCCAUAUAUUGCCUGGGACACAAGGUAAUUUGAACGCUUGGACACCGGUACAACCAAGCCGAUCCAGUCUGCAAGCAAAAUAAUCCAUCGCACAAUACUGCGGCUGUUCAUGUGGCAGUCAAAAAGUUCAAUCCAUCGAUCUAUUCCUCUCCAUCUCAGUUUGCAGCGCUUCGUCAGGUCGUCCUACUUCCCCACUUGCCCACGACGCCGCCCAUCGCCAGAUCAUGUUGAGUGUUAGAACAAUGCGGAAAAUAAAGAUGCCAGGUUAUCUUCCUUAGAAACAAUUAUUGUACAUAGGGCAUCGGGAUAUUUUUGUUCUGGGUUCGCCCUGCCAGCAGCUGCCUCUGGGAAGGAGAGGUAGGCGAGUGGGAAGGUCGGGGACACCAAGGAGGCGGCCGAGCAGGGGCGCUAGACAAGGUUGGGCAGACAAGGACAUGGUAAAGAAGGUGGUGAAGGCGGUUUGGAGUGCUCUAACCAUAUAUCCAACAUGACACGGGUUUACAGAGACCUGACAAUUGACUACUUGAAGAUGUUCCAGCAACUGUCGCUCCUCUAGAACUUGUGAGUCUGUCCACAUUCUUCUUUUUACAGCUUUUGCUCUUUUCGGGAUGAAUUUAAACUGGCUGGAACAAAGGUUCUUUUUCUACUGAACUUCUUAUUUAGUUAUGUCAGUGAACUCCUAUGAUAAUUGAUCUUUAACAUUGAUAUUUUUUUUUACAUUUACUAGGACUUGUGAGUCCGUCCACAUUCUUCUUUUUACAGCUUUUAUUGCUCUUUUCGGAUUGAAUUUAAACUGGCUGCAACAAAGGUUCUUUUUCUACUGAACUUCUUAUUUAGUUAUGUCAGUGAACUCCUUCUAUGAUAAUUGAUCUCUAACAUUGAUAUUUUCUGUUUACAUUUAGGUUCUUUUUUAUUGAUUAGCUGACUUCCUUUGAGGUCAGUGCGUUCGAGGUUAGUAUAUUUUAUAAUCUAAAUACGCUAGGCAAUAACCAAUAUUGCACUCACGUAGUUGCCUGUGACCACAUAAUGAACGAUAGUUCGAGAUCAUCUUUCUAAUCAAUAACCUUUUUUUCUAACUGACUUUGUGUUCUUCCUAAACCAUGCAUUUCCGAGAAAAUUUUGGCUUCAUUGUCACAUGGUUUGCAAGCAAGGUUCCUAGAAAGUAUCUAUGUUUGUUUUGGAGGGCCACAUCAGAGGGGCUUCACUUCUUCAUUGUAAUAAGUAUCUAUGUGUGUUUGCAAGCAAGGUUCCUAGAAAUUAUCUAUGUGUGUUUUACAUUGAACAAUUUUUAUAGUAUCUGAACCAUGAAGUGCCAUCUUCUCAUUGCUUAUAUCUCAGUAUUUAAUUAGUCAAACUGUAAUGUCAACAGAUGAUAUAAAGUUAGAAACCUUGCUUGCAGAGUUAUUAUAGAAUAAAAUUAGCUCUAAUCUUUGUCUUUCUUGGAUUUACUUCUUAUUUAUUGCAUUAUUACCUAUAAACUUUUUUUGAUUUACUUGCAUUAAUUUCUGUCUCCAAUAUUACAAUGAUCACUUCUACUUUGGUUUUCAAGCUAAGCCUGAUUCCCUUGUCUUGGAUGCUUGGGCCAGAGUGCAUGAGAAGGUGGGAACAUGAGUUCUAAUCUUCAGAGCCACAUGAGUAGCCUUGGUAUUUCUGUAUCUGCAAGGUGUAAUUGUCACGCAAAGUUUUCUUGUGAUGUGCAUGUAUCGUCAAAGUUGAACAGCCGAACCAGUUCACUACUGCCGGUCCUGUUAGUAUUCUUUCAUGUUAGACAAUUUACAGUAUUAAACUGAAUUCCGCUUCAGAACAUGAUCAAUAAUUUAAUUUUUUCUGACUAAAUAGAAGGGCUUAGCAUCAAAAAAGUAGUCGAACUUGAGUAUCUCCUAUUCUUGUGGUUCUUUGUCUUCUUCAGCUGAUCUUUAGUAGUACCUUAUAUAUCCACUACCUUAUGUAGGAGUUUCAGGAAUCCAAUGGACUUGAAAAAGGUCACUAAGCUUUUGGAGGAUGUUCAAAUCGAAGAGCACACAAUGCAAGGAUUAUACCCUGAAGUGUUUUUGUUCCAAACCUAUGCAUGGCCAACAAUUUUAACUGAAGUUAUUGUCCCAUUCGCAUUUAAAUUAUUGUUACUAAUAUAUUCCAUUCGUGUGAUUGAUCUGUAUAUAUCUCAUUAAUGACUUAAGGAACUGUAAAUAAGAAAAAAUGGAAAGGUGUGAUGUAUCAGUUCACCUCAUUUAUUCAUUACCCGGUUCA
Lolium rigidum is the source of this 2596-nucleotide long non-coding RNA. RefSeq lists it as uncharacterized. The record is from RefSeq and is a predicted model, not a curated record. Lineage: Eukaryota; Viridiplantae; Streptophyta; Magnoliopsida; Poales; Poaceae. The transcript has 3 exons.